GGUAGCUCAGAGGUUAAGAGCACUGGCUGUUUUUCCAGAGGACCUGGGUUCAAUUCCCAGUACCC
Molecule: transfer RNA, 65 nt
Filed under: Neotoma lepida (desert woodrat)
Lineage: Eukaryota; Metazoa; Chordata; Mammalia; Rodentia; Cricetidae
Rfam family: tRNA
About the family: Transfer RNA (tRNA) molecules are approximately 80 nucleotides in length. Their secondary structure includes four short double-helical elements and three loops (D, anti-codon, and T loops). Further hydrogen bonds mediate the characteristic L-shaped molecular structure. tRNAs have two regions of fundamental functional importance: the anti-codon, which is responsible for specific mRNA codon recognition, and the 3' end, to which the tRNAs corresponding amino acid is attached (by aminoacyl-tRNA synthetases). tRNAs cope with the degeneracy of the genetic code in two manners: having more than one tRNA (with a specific anti-codon) for a particular amino acid; and 'wobble' base-pairing, i.e. permitting non-standard base-pairing at the 3rd anti-codon position.
Source: Rfam by way of RNAcentral